Bolinopsis microptera is the source of this 804-nucleotide long non-coding RNA. RefSeq lists it as uncharacterized. NCBI's taxonomy places the organism in Eukaryota, Metazoa, Ctenophora, Tentaculata, Lobata, Bolinopsidae. The transcript has 2 exons. The record is from RefSeq and is a predicted model, not a curated record.
CCGGCAUGAAAUCUAUCCGAGAGUAUUUUCUGAGAAAAUAUUUUAGUAUACAUAAAGGAAAACAUACUCUUCAAGUAGUUGAUGUAGUAGCUGUUGGAACUACAGGGGGCUCUCUUAAUCUUGUGAAGACCCCUGGUUGUGCUGAAGAUAGAUGCAGGUAUGAGUUGCAUCAGAGAGUACUUCCAGAGAAAGCUUUUUAGUGUUCAAGAAGGAAAACCAGCGUUCCACAUGGACGUUAGCGCUAUACGAGCAGCUGUUGGUACAUUGUAACCAUGUCAACACACUCGUCACUAUAGCAACACGCGCGUUACUAUAGCAACACACACGCGUUACUAUAACAACACACACGCGUUACUAUAGCAACACACGCGUUACUUUAGCAACACACGCGUUACUAUAGCAAAAGUCUUUUUGUAGUUUAAGAAAGCGGAACAGCAUUUUUGUAUUGCUAUUAUGCUAAUAACUUUUAUAGUGAAUCUUGUAAGGAAAAGAGUUUUUAACAAUUAGUAUUUUGAUAUUUUUUAGAAUUGAAAAAUUAUACAAAAAUGAUACACAAAAUCGACCUGGAACUAUUUCAAAUACAAAUUUCUUAACGGAAUAUUAUACCACACAGUUGUAUUAAAGAACGCAAUAAUUUGCCUAAGAGUAAGAAUAGUCAUAUCAAUUAUCAUUUAAAUUAGCAAUUUGUGCACUGAAAAUUACUUUUUCGUGUGAUGAUAGGAUGGAAAGAUUGGUACGGGUAAAAUCUUGGUUGUACUUGUAAUACCCAUUUUGUUAGAUGUAUACAUUUUGUGCGUACUGUGC